CGUGUAGGUGGUUAUGUAAGUUGGAUGUGAAAUCCCUCGGCUCAACCGAGGAACUGCAUUCAAAACUGUGUAACUAGAGUGUAGGAGCGGAAAGCGGAAUUCCUGGUGUAGCGGUGAAAUGCGUAGAUAUCAGGAAGAACACCGGUGGCGAAGGCGGCUUUCUGGACUAACACUGACACUAAGGCGCGAAAGCUAGGGGAGCGAACAGGAUUAGAUACCCUGGUAGUCC
Molecule: ribosomal RNA, 229 nt
Filed under: uncultured bacterium
Lineage: Bacteria
Description: partial 16S ribosomal RNA
Rfam family: Bacterial small subunit ribosomal RNA
Source: RNAcentral